This 446-nucleotide ribosomal RNA is filed under the name uncultured bacterium. RNAcentral describes it as "bacterial SSU rRNA". It matches the Rfam family "Bacterial small subunit ribosomal RNA", at positions 329 to 792 of the family's 1533-position model. The record is from RNAcentral.
GUCCAGACUCCUACGGGAGGCAGCAGUGGGGAAUAUUGCACAAUGGGGGAAACCCUGAUGCAGCGACGCCGCGUGAGUGAAGAAGUAAUUCGUUAUGUAAAGCUCUAUCAGCAGGGAAGAAAAUGACGGUACCUGAGUAAGAAGCCCCGGCUAACUACGUGCCAGCAGCCGCGGUAAUACGUAGGGGGUAAGCGUUAUCCGGAUUUACUGGGUGUAAAGGGGGCGCAGACGGCGAUGCAAGCCAGGAGUGAAAGCCCGGGGCCCAACCCCGGGACUGCUCUUGGAACUGCGUGGCUGGAGUGCAGGAGGGGCAGGCGGAAUUCCUGGUGUAGCGGUGGAAUGCGUAGAUAUUAGGAGGAACAUCAGUGGCGAAGGCGACUUUCUGGACUGUAACUGACGCUGAGGCACGAAAGUGUGGGGAGCAAACAGGAUUAGAUACCCCUGUA